UACAGAGGGUGCAAGCGUUAAUCGGAAUUACUGGGCGUAAAGCGUGCGUAGACGGUUAUGUAAGUCGGGUGUGAAAGCCCCGGGCUCAACCUGGGAAUUGCAUUCGAGACUGAAUAGCUAGGGUACGGUAGAGGGAAGCGGAAUUUCCGGUGUAGCGGUGAAAUGCGUAGAUAUCGGAAGGAACAUCAGUGGCGAAAGCAGCUUCCUGGACCAGUACCGACGUUCAGGCACGAAAGCGUGGGGAGCAAACAGG
This 253-nucleotide ribosomal RNA is filed under the name uncultured bacterium. RNAcentral describes it as "partial 16S ribosomal RNA". It matches the Rfam family "Bacterial small subunit ribosomal RNA", at positions 524 to 776 of the family's 1533-position model. The record is from RNAcentral.